GACGAACGCUGGCGGCGUGCUUAACACAUGCAAGUCGAACGGAAAGGCCUCUUUCGGGGGGUACUCGAGUGGCGAACGGGUGAGUAACACGUGAGUAACCUGCCCUUGACUUUGGGAUAACUUCAGGAAACUGGGGCUAAUACCGGAUAGGAGCUCCUGCUGCAUGGUGGGGGUUGGAAAGUUUCGGCGGUUGGGGAUGGACUCGCGGCUUAUCAGCUUGUUGGUGGGGUAGUGGCUUACCAAGGCUUUGACGGGUAGCCGGCCUGAGAGGGUGACCGGCCACAUUGGGACUGAGAUACGGCCCAGACUCCUACGGGAGGCAGCAGUGGGGAAUAUUGCACAAUGGGUGGAAGCCUGAUGCAGCAACGCCGUGUGCGGGAUGACGGCCUUCGGGAUGUAAACCGCUUUCGCUCAUGACGAAGCUUUGUGUGACGGUAGUGGGUAAAGAAGCACCGGCUAACUACGUG
RNAcentral lists this ribosomal RNA (467 nucleotides) under uncultured bacterium. RNAcentral describes it as "partial 16S ribosomal RNA". It matches the Rfam family "Bacterial small subunit ribosomal RNA", at positions 28 to 507 of the family's 1533-position model. The record is from RNAcentral.